UUCAGGGGUAAACCUGAGAAACCCAAAAGAUCGAAUGAGGAGAUUCAUCGUCAGCUCAUUUUGUAUAUGUACAAGUUAUGAUGUGNNAGUUACUCUUNNGUAGUAUUGCUNUGUACGUACUUGUGCAUUUAUUUGCAAGAUGUUGUCGGCGUGCACUUCUCCUCUAGUAGGACGUCGCGACCCGUUGGGUGUCGGUCUACGACCCGAGNUGGGAGACUUUAAUAUUNNUUANNUAAUAUUAAAGACCCUUGGUGUUNUUCUGACCGACUGCCCGGCGGUACUCGUACGGUAUUUAGCCGCAUNUUNANNNUUUGCGUCCAUGUCCAUCGCAAGCGAGGCUAAUUUCUGGUAGUNGCGGACCUAGUGCCGUCGCUGGAGUUGGCCAGCUGU
This 390-nucleotide ribosomal RNA is filed under the name Heterospilus sp. ASDOR394-10. Its description in RNAcentral is "partial 28S ribosomal RNA". Lineage: Eukaryota; Metazoa; Arthropoda; Insecta; Hymenoptera; Braconidae. The record is from RNAcentral.